AUUGAACGCUGGCGGUAGGCCUAACACAUGCAAGUCGAGCGGCAGCAGAGUGAUUGCUUCUGGUUACAGCGGCGGAGGGGCGGGUAAUGGCUAGGAACAUGCGUGUUUGCGGGGGCUAGGGUGCGGACACGGGGGAUAUUACGGUAAUAGCGCAGAGGACGAAAGGGGGGGAUCUUGGGACCUUCGGCCCUUGGACGAGUGAAGGAGGCGAUGUCGGAUUAGCUAGUUGGCGGGGUAAAGGGCCACCAAGGCGACGAUCCGUAGCUGGUCUGAGAGGAUGAUCAGCCACACUGGAACUGAGACACGGUCCAGACUCCUACGGGAGGCAGCAGUGGGGAAUAUUGGACAAUGGGCGCAAGCCUGAUCCAGCCAUGCCGCGUGUGUGAAGAAGGCCUUCGGAUUGUAAAGCACUUUUAUUGGGAAAGAAAAGCAGUAGGUUAAUACCUUGCUGUUCUGACGUUACCAACAGAAUAAGCACCGGCUAACUUCGUG
Molecule: ribosomal RNA, 492 nt
Filed under: uncultured bacterium
Lineage: Bacteria
Description: partial 16S ribosomal RNA
Rfam family: Bacterial small subunit ribosomal RNA
Source: RNAcentral